UUCUCAUUUGACAUGAUACAUUAAAUAGGAUGAACAAAUAUCGUAUUUGUAAGCUGGCUGCCUCUCAUAUAUAAAUAGACAGGUAUGAUAAAUGUAUUUAAAUGCUCCGAAUUGUAAAAUGAGUUGACAUUUAUUACUUGAUAUGAAGUUUUCCAUGUUAUGCAUUUCAAUAUUUGAGAAGAUUUCAGGAUUAAAACUUUAAUCCAUGAUUAUUCCAUUGUUUUUUUUAUACUUUGAAUUAAUGUAACACCACAAAUUAUUCUGACAAAAGAGAAGUGCAAAAUCUGACGUACCUCAAAGACUUUUUACAAACCAAUCGAACGGAAGUUAACAUUGAAAUUCUUAAUCUAUAUUUAAGAACAGACAAAGGGAAAUGGAAACAACGUCCCUUAGAAUAAUAUUGUAUUUACCUGGUUAUUAUGGAAGGUCUUGAUUUACAUAGGAUGCAAAAUCCACCUUUUUAAAAAGCUUAGGAUCUCGGAGCAUCAAAUUCUUUUUCAUUCUCUGAGGAAAAUCCAGUUAUUACUUCUUAAUUACAACAUUCUAUUUUAAAUCUUCUAUGUAUUGUCACAUAUACAUUGUAGUACUGUGUCAUGUAUUGUCUUCAUACGUGUAUAUAUUUUGUAACAGUUUAAAUGACUGGGUCAAACGCAGACACAGUGACCCAUGCACCCAUUCAUGUAUUUUCUGGUACAUAAAGUGUAAAAAUAAACUCAUCAUAGAUACCAGGACUUAAUUUUGUAUAUACGCCAGACGCGUGUUUUGUCUACAAAAGACUCAUCAGUGACGCUCGAAUCCAAAACAAAUGAAAAGGCCAAAUAAAGUACGAAGUUGAAGAGCAUUAAGAACCAAAAUUCCUAAAAGUUUUGCCAAAUACAGCUAGGGUAAUCAAUGCCUGAGGUAGAAAAGCCAUAGUUUGUUAUGGUGUAACGAAGAACAUUUAACACACUGUAUCUGUACAAACGACAUGGCAAAGAAGGGGAAACAGAUAAGGAUACACUGUAGUAAGAAAACCAGGACGAGUUCAAGA
RNAcentral lists this long non-coding RNA (1030 nucleotides) under Mytilus galloprovincialis (Mediterranean mussel). The record is from RNAcentral. Lineage: Eukaryota; Metazoa; Mollusca; Bivalvia; Mytilida; Mytilidae.